Momordica charantia (bitter melon) is the source of this 2098-nucleotide RNA transcript. It is a transcript of the gene named Flavin containing amine oxidoreductase family, with no coding region annotated. NCBI's taxonomy places the organism in Eukaryota, Viridiplantae, Streptophyta, Magnoliopsida, Cucurbitales, Cucurbitaceae. The record is from RefSeq and is a predicted model, not a curated record.
UUUUCUGUUUCGGUGGUUUGAACAUUUAUCUCUUUAUGGUAUCCCACGUCUCCAAUGGAGGAUUCUAAGGAAGAAGAACGUUGACAGAGCAUCCAGCUUAACCAAGCUACACGGAAAUGGCCCCGCCAACCAAACAAGACCAGCGAACCUCCAGAAGAACGGUGGCUGUUGUUGGCGCUGGUGUUAGUGGGCUUGCUGCAGCUUACAAAUUGAAGUCACAAGGUUUCAAUGUCACGGUGCUUGAAGCUGAUGAAAGAGCUGGAGGAAAGAUAAGAAGCGUCUCAUACGAGGGUCUUAUCUGGGACGAAGGAGCCAAUACAAUGACUGAAAGUGAACCAGCGGUCCAGUGCUUACUUGACGAUCUUGGACUUCGAGAGAAACAACAAUUUCCAAUUUCUCAAAAUAAACGAUAUAUUGUGAGGAAUGGUGUACCAGUACUGGUGCCUACAAAUCCCAUUGCACUGAUCAAGAGCAACAUUCUCUCUGCAAAGUCAAAGUUCCAGAUCAUUUUAGAGCCAUUUUUGUGGAAAAAGUAUGAUUCAUCAAAAGUGUCAGAUGAUUAUACUAGUGAAAGCGUGGGUGGGUUCUUUCAGCGCCAUUUUGGGAAAGAGGUUGUUGACUAUCUGAUUGACCCAAUUGUUGCUGGUACAAGUGCUGGAGAUCCCGACUCUCUUUCUAUGAUUCAUACCUUUCCGGAGCUGUGGAAUAUUGAAAAAAGGUUUGGUUCGAUUUUAGCUGGAUUAGUGCAAUCAAAAUUGUUUACCAAAAAGGAGAAUAGUGGAGCGAGGAAUGGUACUGCAGAAAAAAGGAAACCUGGUCAUGGCUCAUUUUCCUUUCAGGAUGGAAUGCAGACACUCACCGAUAGACUAUGCAAAGAGCUUGGUGAAGAUGUGCUUAAGUUAAGAUCAGAAGUUUUUUCAUUAUCCUACAAUGCUGGGCAGCCCGCAUCACAAAAUUGGUCACUCACUUAUGCUAAUGGUCGGAAUUCACAGGAUUUAACUGCUGAUGCUGUAAUUAUGACGGCUCCUGUGUGCUACGUCAGAGAAAUGAAGUUUAUGAAAGGAGGAAUUCCAUUUCCGCUAAAUUUUCUUCCUGAGGUGGCUUAUAUGCCAUUGUCAGUCAUGAUAACUACCUUCAGAAAGGAGAGUGUUAAGAGACCACUUGAGGGAUUUGGAGUUCUUGUACCUUCUGUAGAACAACGAAAUGGUCUAAGAACCCUUGGUACACUCUUUUCCUCCAUGAUGUUUCCAGAUCGUGCAUUAAGUGAUGAGUAUCUGUAUACGACUUUUAUUGGUGGGAGUCGAAACAGGGAGCUUGCGAAGUCAUCAAAAGAUGAGUUGAAGCAAAUCGUUACAUCGGAUCUAAGACAGUUGUUGGGAGUCGAUGGGGAGCCCACUUUUGUCAACCAUUUCUAUUGGAGCAAAGCAUUUCCUUUAUAUGGGCAUAACUAUGAUUCAGUUGUGAAGGCAAUUGAAAAAAUGGAGAAAGAUCUUCCUGGGUUCUUUUAUGCAGGUAACCACAGGGAUGGUUUGUCUGUUGGCAAAUCUAUAGCCGCCGGCUGCAAAGCUGCUGAUAUCGUAAUUUCUUAUCUGGAGUCUUCUUCUACUGACAAGCCCCGUGCUGAACAGAUACAAAAUUCAGAAAAAUAGCAAGUUCACCCUUGCAACAAAGUGAGUGAUUUCACCAUUUUCUGAUCCUGGCGCCUUACAUUUUCCUAGACCAGAAAGGAUGUGAGAAUUGCUUUUACAUUGCCAUGGUAGCUAGCCUGUGCCCCUUUUGGAUGGACGGGGGGUCUCUCAAAUUGGAGGAAUCAGCAUCCAUUAUCUGCUUACGUAAUUUACAAUCAUAGCUUUUAUUAGUUGUAUGACUCAUAACAUCAACUUCUAAGUGGACGGAAAUGCUGUAUUGUAAUUCUUAUAUUCUGCUUGAUCUUUUUUCUUUCUUUCUUUUUUCCUUUUUCAAUUUAAAUAUGAAUAAAUCGUUCAUGGAAUAGAUAUUGAUAGAGAAAAACAGGAGUAGCAUACAUUUUUUCUCCAACCUUUGAGGUUACAAACAUCAAACUUUCGAGCUUCUAUUUUACACUCCUUAUUGUAAGUUA